AAAGGUAGAGCUCAGUGGUAGAGCGUGUGCUUAGCAUGCACGAGGUCCUGGGUUCAAUCCCCAGUACCUCCA
RNAcentral lists this transfer RNA (72 nucleotides) under Camelus bactrianus (Bactrian camel). It matches the Rfam family "tRNA". From Rfam's summary of the family: Transfer RNA (tRNA) molecules are approximately 80 nucleotides in length. Their secondary structure includes four short double-helical elements and three loops (D, anti-codon, and T loops). Lineage: Eukaryota; Metazoa; Chordata; Mammalia; Artiodactyla; Camelidae. RNAcentral also lists the same sequence under 1 other name. The record is from Rfam by way of RNAcentral.